AUUUCAGAGCUAGCAUUUUGGAGCUAGCCCGAAACAAAUAUAGCUGAAUAUUAUUACAUGUCGUCAUAUCCUGAUAUUGUCACCAUGGCAACUCGACUUUUUAAUGCGAAGUUCUCAGACAAGAAUGCAGCCAUACUGGAAAUAUGAUAGCCGAAAGCAAGUUGGGAAAAAUGAGAAAAGAGUGCAUGGAAAUAAGAAGGAUAUUCAUUUAUUGAGGAUUCCUUCCUUGAGAAGAAGAAUAAAACAGAACCAAGUACUGACCAGGAGAAGAACACAGAACAAGGUUUAUGGGGGGUGGAGAGGUCACAGAGAGGUUUCUCACCAACAUCUCGCUGUCUGUGGAGCGUUUAAAGCGGACGAGUCAGACGUGUAAACUCCUCUGAGCCACUGAGGUUUAAAUAUUCUGAUAUGUGCAAGAAAAUAUAGUCCACUUUACUCUGAUACCCUGAAAUAAAAUGUUCUUU
Molecule: long non-coding RNA, 464 nt
Organism: Xiphophorus couchianus (Monterrey platyfish)
Lineage: Eukaryota; Metazoa; Chordata; Actinopteri; Cyprinodontiformes; Poeciliidae
Exons: 4
Source: RefSeq, a predicted model, not a curated record